Molecule: RNA transcript, 1476 nt
Organism: Phragmites australis (common reed)
Lineage: Eukaryota; Viridiplantae; Streptophyta; Magnoliopsida; Poales; Poaceae
Gene name: protein GET4-like
Exons: 13
Source: RefSeq, a predicted model, not a curated record
GCCCACCCAAAAGCCAAGCCAAGGCAGGCCGUGUGUUGUCCCGAAGGCGAAUUCCUUCAGCGACGCGGCGACUCCGAUCACCACCGCCGCCCGCCGCCGUCGCUGCCGCAGCCGAGGCUAGCUCGCCUGGGAGCCAUGUCGCGGUCCAUGAGCAUGAGGUCGCGGCGCGAGCUGCCUCCUCCCGAGAAGACAAUUGAAAAACUUGAGAGUAUGGUGGAAGGAGGAAAUUACUAUGAAGCCCAACAAAUGUACAAGUCAACCAGUGCAAGGUAUAUUGCUGCUCAGAAGCAUUUGGAAGCCUUGGACAUUCUUCAGUCAGGUGCUUUGGUACAAUUGAAGCAUGGGCAGGUAACUUGUGGUGCUGAACUUGCUGUCAUGUUUGUGGACACCCUUGUCAAGGGAGGGCUUCCUUAUAGUGAAGAAACUUUUGAUCGUAUCAGAAAGAUGUACGAGGCUUUCCCCAGGAUAUCUGUUCCCCAUUUCCUUGGAGAUGACUAUGACGAUGAUGGGCAGAAGUUAUCUGAAGCUAUUUCUGCCGCAAAAGUGCGCGCAGAGAGUUGUUCAUCAUUCCUGAAAGCUGCUAUCAGGUGGUCUGCUGAGUUUGGAACAUCAAGGAAUGGAUCUCCUGAGCUGCAUGUUAUGUUAGCAGAAUACAUAUAUUCUGAAUCUCCAGAAACGGACAUGACUAAAGUCUCAAGUCAUUUUGUGCGUGGAAAUGAUCCUAAAAAGUUUGCUUCUAUGCUGGUGAACUUUAUGAGCAAGUGCUACCCUGGUGAAGAUGAUAUUGCAAUUGCACGUGGGGUCCUAAUGUACCUAUCUCAAGGGAAUUUGAGAGAUGCAAAUUUGCUUAUGGAUGAGAUGAAAGCACAACUAAAAUCUGCUGACUCGGAACUUCCAAGAACAGAUUUGAUUCAGUUCAUCAAGUAUCUUUUACCAACGCUUGAAAGAGAUGCUUACCCUCUUUUUAGGACACUUAGACAGAAGUAUAAGACAAGUACAGACCGUGACCCUGUGUUUGAGGAGGAACAAGGAGAAGAGCUUGAAUUUUUUUCCACAGAUAUUGUUACUGGAUGAAAUAGCUGCAAAAUUUUAUAAUAUACGGCGCCAGAACCCACUAGAAGGACUUUUUGGUGAAAUGUUCAAGAUAUAGUUGACGAGGAAAGAAUAUGAUUGUAAUGCCUUAUUCGAAAUCAUUGGCCAAAUAAUACAAUUGCUGCCAUGGCGCCUUCUGUUCUCCAAAGCUUCCUCAGUGAGGAUAACCUGAGGUCAUACAUUUGGCGCCAAAUUAAAUGAAGAUAUAUGCUCCACUGAUCUCUUGUAAAAUCAUUUAUUAGUUUCAAACUUUUGAUGCUUCUGAAAAUUUUGUAUAACUUGUGUGUUUAUAUUACCUAAAUUUCUUUUCACUGGCGUGGGCGCACUUUUGGAAAAUGUAACUUGUACUAAGCCGCUUCGCAAUGAUAAUCUAUUGUAUGCUCA